UGGAAAUAUGGGAGCUUAAAGGCAACACGUCAGUUUGUCAAAGUACAAAGGAGGGCUCUCUUUGAGCAACAAGUUUCUUCAUUUUGUUUUUGGUCUAAAGACCGAAUUUUGGUUUGAAGAAAGCUGCUGGCAGCAAGCUCUGCAUCCAUUUAGCUUUGGCAAGUCUUUCUUCUUCUCUUUUGAAUUUUGUUUCCCUUUCAGCUUCUUUGUUUUUGGCUUAAGUUUGCUUUUGGGUUCUUCAACAGCCGCAACACAGGAGGCUUCUUAGCCUGAAAUUAGUGAGCCAUUUUCCUUUUGCUUUUUGCCUGAGACACUAAUUUGGAGUCUGGUUUUUGGUGUUGAGAGAAAAGAAAAAUCAUCUCUUUUUGAAUCUUGCUUGUGAUUUUGUUUUCAUCAUUUCCUUGAAGACUUGACUGCAUUUUUUUUGGUCCAAAGACAAUUUUGAGUUCUCUGCUUCCUUCCGGUCUCUUGGUAACAAUGGUAUGAUGCUUCGGUGCAUUUUUUUUUCAUUUGGUUGCAGAUUGAGAUCUUUUGGGAAGGGCUAUCAUAGUGCCAGUGACAGAGUGAGAACCCUUUGUGGUUUCUGCAAAUUGUUGCAGAGGAAUGCUGCUUUGGUGACCUUCGUGGGUGUGAAUCAUCAGUCUUUCACGUUUUGCUACCUGUUCUUUCUCCAAUCUGCAGAUUUGGAAUUUUG
Molecule: long non-coding RNA, 694 nt
Organism: Prunus dulcis (almond)
Lineage: Eukaryota; Viridiplantae; Streptophyta; Magnoliopsida; Rosales; Rosaceae
Exons: 3
Source: RefSeq, a predicted model, not a curated record